Molecule: long non-coding RNA, 1807 nt
Filed under: Arabidopsis thaliana (thale cress)
Lineage: Eukaryota; Viridiplantae; Streptophyta; Magnoliopsida; Brassicales; Brassicaceae
Description: potential natural antisense gene, locus overlaps with AT3G24520 (AT3G24518)
Source: RNAcentral
GCUACAAUAAUACUUUAUUCAAAAAUCAAAACACUGAAGUAGUGAAGAAGAUCAAAAUUGUUGUUAUUACAAGUGUGAAUAUAUUACACAAGUCACCUGAAAGUACUUUUAAAAGGAAAACAAAGUCAACAUAUGAACUUUUAACAAAUAUAAUCAGAAAUUAUAUACUGUCAAAACUUUCUACAAACGAUGACUACUGACUCAACUAUGGAUCUGUCCUUAUUUUCUUUCUUUCUUUUGGUUAUACAUAAAAUAAUUAAGAACAAACACACAAAAAAUAAAUAAUAAUAAUAAUAUAACAAUAAUAAAGUCUAAAGAUCAUAUAUCAUGUGAAGCUAAACGCUAAAAGCCACCUCGAAACAGAGAAAAUGGAUAAGGCGGUGUUGUUGGUGGAUUUGACUCUACCACUCCUCCAAACGUCGCCGUUUCUUUAUACCUUCUUUCUCCCUGAAUACUCCCACAUCCUCCUCCUCCUCCUCCGUUAACACUCUCCGGCAAAGAAAACGUCGACGUCAAAGAUGAUGACGUCGACGACGUUGAAUUCGAGAGCAUCGACUUCGCCACCAAACCCGUCUCGUAACUACCAAACUGUCCUUGCGUCAUAGGAACAAUCCACCCAUCCGGUGAAUGAUUCCGGUAAAGAUUCUCCGUUGAUGACGGCGACGGUGUUGAUGAUGACAUAACCCUAAAGACCCUCCCUUCAUCUUCUUCCACUUCUUCUUCCUCUGACUUCACCGUCGACAUCGUGACACGACGCUUCUUCUUGUCGGAAACUUGUUGUUGUUGCUUUGUCCGUUCUUUCUCGAGCAUCAUUCUUGGAAGAAGAUCAGGAUCUUCAACGACUUUGUAAAGAAACGCCAUCAUCUGCUCCGGUCUCUUCUCCGUCGCUUCGAUCCUCCGGUUCAUCCUCUGAAUCUCUGCCUCUAGCUCCCUCUGCUCUUCUUUUAACCGUUCGAUCUCCCUCACAAUCUCACCGUCCUCCAAAUCUUGACCGUACAUCCCCCGCGCGUGUUUCCUACGCGCUAUGUUAUUCAACAAAUGCUUCUGUCCCCUUAGAAAAUGCUCGUUCGCAAACUCCCACCGGUCCGGAUCCACUUUCCUAAACCCCUAAAGUAAAUAAAGAAAGGAUCAUUAGUUCGUAAUCCCCUGUUUCCAGUUUCAUGUAAGAUUCGUUGCGAGAAGUCGAGUGGAUCAACGACUAUGAAACUGUUGUGAGCAGGUCCCCAAGUGAUGAGCCAAUCGGUGGAAGGAUCAUUGACCAUCUGAUAUGUUUUCACGAUGAAAGAAAUUAAAGAGGAGCCUGGAGGGUUUAUAUAAAGAUAGGAAAAUGAGAUGUGAAAAUAGUAAGUUAAGUGUAGUUGACAGUGAGACUAUAUUGACGUGGCUUGCUUUUUGUGAUAACGUGGCGGGUUCGUGUUUUGCCUUUUACGGUGUCACGAGUGAACUGUGGGACCUAUGCAGGUGCCACAAAGCCUUAGGUCAAUUAGCUUUUCUUAGAUGGCAAGUUAUUAGUCCGAGCCGUUGUGUAUUUGUGUGAGAUGUUUUCAAGAGACGACGAGCGUGUGGGUGCUUGGAUACUGACAUGGUCCGCACUGGUUAGUGACGGAGGAACUCAGGAACAAGUACUGAUUCGACACGUUGCGUAGAAUCUUUUUUGUUGGCGAUGCACACUCCACUAAUCGAGUAUUUUUGUAUUUAUGGAAAGUUUAUUCAUUAUACGUUGCUUAAUUCAGGUAUACGACGAACAUGAUUUUUCAUUUUUAUUAUAGUGUCACACAAAUAUUAUAGGAAACUGAUGUCGUACGGA